RNAcentral lists this transfer RNA (70 nucleotides) under Marmota monax (woodchuck). RNAcentral's name for it is "tRNA.Ala". Lineage: Eukaryota; Metazoa; Chordata; Mammalia; Rodentia; Sciuridae. The record is from RNAcentral.
GUGGCUGUAGCUCAGUGUAGAGUGUUUGCCUAGCAUGAGGGAGGCACUGGGUUCAAUCCUCAGCACCACA